GAUCAUUUUAUUUAGCGUUCAUGUAAACAAUACAUUCAGAUUCAUCAAUCGGAAUGAAUUCAGUCCAAUUGAACCAAAAAUUGUGCAUGUAAAUGUAGCCACUGAAGACCAGAGUAAUACAGUAAAUAUGGAAAAUAAUUGCCCCCCUUUAAAAUAAUCACAUUUUGUUGGUUUGAAGAUGGACACAGCUUUUGUUUUAUCCAGCUGUAUUUACUCAGUGCAACUUGUAACAUCCAAGUGAAUGAUAUAACACAUCCAAAAACCAAUCACUGAGUUAGAAAAAGGAUCACCCCCUUGUUGUCAGUAUUUUGUUGAACCUUUUGACUUAAUUACAGCCUUUAGUCUGGUGGGAUAUGUCUCUGUCUCUACAAACUGCACAUCUAGACUUUGCAAUAUUUGCCUACAUUUCUUUGCAGAACCGUUCAAAUUCAUUUCAAUUUGUUGCUGGCCAUUUGUGGACUGUAGUCUUCAAGUGAUUCCACAGAUUUUCAGUGAGGUUAAAGUCUUGUCUCUGACUCUGUCAUGCAAGGACAAUCACCUUUUUCUCCUUUCAGGUUUCAAUCACUGUGUUCUCAGUUCUGCUGUGUGCUUUGGGUCAUUGCCAUGCUGGAAGUUAAACCUUCUUCCCAUUGAUAACUUUCUGGCAGAGGGCAGCAGAUUUUUCUCAAGAAUUUGACCAUUUUUUGCCCCAUCCAUUGUUCCUUCUAUCCUGGCAUGUGCUCCAGUCUCUGCUGCAGAGAAACCCCCAUAACAGGAUACUACACCUCCAUUCUUUACUGUAUGAUUUCUGUUAUUUAGAUGGUGAGCUGUAUUGGAUUUCUUCUGGACAUCUCGUUUGGUGUUGAGGCCAAAUAAUUCAGUUUUAGUCUCAGCUGCCUCAGAAUCUUCAAGCCCUCCCAUAUAAGCCACAUUUGUGGAAAAUUUGUGAUGUUGUUGGCACAUGCACACAAUCAUAAAUUGUAAAAUUUAUGCAACUGCUUCAGAGUUGUUGUAGGCCUGAGCAGUUUCCUCCUGGCUCUUUCAUCCAGUUUGGAGCAACAUCCUGAUUCAGAGAGAUCUUUUGACAGUCCUUGCCACCCAUAGUGGAUUGUUUGCUUCAGUUGCACUGCCAAUAACUGAAAUGCUCCUGGAAAGCUCUUUUC
This is a long non-coding RNA of Carassius carassius (crucian carp), 1142 nucleotides long. RefSeq lists it as uncharacterized. The transcript has 3 exons. Lineage: Eukaryota; Metazoa; Chordata; Actinopteri; Cypriniformes; Cyprinidae. The record is from RefSeq and is a predicted model, not a curated record.